This 498-nucleotide ribosomal RNA is filed under the name uncultured bacterium. RNAcentral describes it as "partial 16S ribosomal RNA". It matches the Rfam family "Bacterial small subunit ribosomal RNA", at positions 30 to 523 of the family's 1533-position model. The record is from RNAcentral.
AUUGAACGCUGGCGGCAUGCCUUACACAUGCAAGUCGAACGGUAACAGGUCUUCGGAUGCUGACGAGUGGCGAACGGGUGAGUAAUACAUCGGAACGUGCCCGAUCGUGGGGGAUAACGGAGCGAAAGCUUUGCUAAUACCGCAUACGAUCUACGGAUGAAAGCAGGGGACCGCAAGGCCUUGCGCGGACGGAGCGGCCGAUGGCAGAUUAGGUAGUUGGUGGGAUAAAAGCUUACCAAGCCGACGAUCUGUAGCUGGUCUGAGAGGACGACCAGCCACACUGGGACUGAGACACGGCCCAGACUCCUACGGGAGGCAGCAGUGGGGAAUUUUGGACAAUGGGCGCAAGCCUGAUCCAGCCAUGCCGCGUGCAGGAUGAAGGCCUUCGGGUUGUAAACUGCUUUUGUACGGAACGAAACGGCUCUUUCUAAUAAAGAGGGCUAAUGACGGUACCGUAAGAAUAAGCACCGGCUAACUACGUGCCAGCCGCCGCAGUAA